RNAcentral lists this ribosomal RNA (614 nucleotides) under uncultured bacterium. Its description in RNAcentral is "bacterial SSU rRNA". It matches the Rfam family "Bacterial small subunit ribosomal RNA", at positions 113 to 704 of the family's 1533-position model. The record is from RNAcentral.
AAACGUGGGUAAUCUGCCUCAAAGCUCGGGAUAACCUUCCGAAAGGUUGGCUAGUACCGGAUAAGCUCACAGGGUCUUCGGAUCUGGUGAGAAAAUGGUGGCCUCUAUUUAUAAGCUAUCACUUUGAGAUGAGCCCGCGGCCCAUCAGCUAGUUGGCGGGGUAACGGCCCACCAAGGCAACGACGGGUAGCUGGUCUGAGAGGACGAUCAGCCACACUGGAACUGAGACACGGUCCAGACUCCUACGGGAGGCAGCAGUGGGGAAUUUUCCACAAUGGGCGAAAGCCUGAUGGAGCAACGCCGCGUGUGUGAUGAAGGUCUUCGGGUCGUAAAGCACUUUCGACUGGGACGAAACACCCUUGGCUAACACUCAAGGGCUUGACCGUACCAGGAGAAGAAGCACCGGCUAACUCUGUGCCAGCAGCCGCGGUAAUACAGAGGGUGCAAGCGUUGUUCGGAAUUAUUGGGCGUAAAGCGCGUGUAGGCGGCAUAGCAAGUCGGGUGUGAAAGCCCUCAGCUUAACUGAGGAAGUGCGCCCGAAACUGCUGUGCUUGAGUGCCGGAGAGGAUGGCGGAAUUCCCCAAGUAGAGGUGAAAUUCGUAGAUAUGGGGAGG